This 890-nucleotide long non-coding RNA is filed under the name Eutrema salsugineum. RNAcentral's name for it is "long non-coding RNA (ESAL_LNC000247)". Lineage: Eukaryota; Viridiplantae; Streptophyta; Magnoliopsida; Brassicales; Brassicaceae. The record is from RNAcentral.
CUCAAGCCUAAAGGAGCGCUCUUCAUGCUUUUGGUUACUACCAUUAUCAAUCAUAUGAAGCUUUUUAAUGGCCGCAACACUUCCAUCACUCAAAACUCCUUUGUACACAUCUCCAUAUCCGCCGCUUCCAAUUUUUUUCCCUUCGCUAAAAUUGUUAGUUGCAAUCUCUAAUUCUUUGUAUGCAUAAACUUCUACUCCUUCUGCUCGGCUUUUCCUGCAACUCUUUGUAUGUGGGGGUAAUUGUCUGAACGAUGUCGGGUUUCUUGAGUAUAGACAAUCGCUCUUGAUGCCAUCUAACCAAAAAAAUGUAGAUUUCGAAAUAAAAGAUUAGGCAUUAGGGACCGAAAAAUUAUAUAAUUAAUAACCAAGAGCGUGUGGUCUAGUGGUUUGUUGGAGCCUAUAGAGAAUUCAAGUUUUAUCAUCGAUAAAUAUUGAUGUAAUUUCUUCUUGGCCAUUGUAGAUACUUUAAAUGGUACAAAUACCGUUUUCUAUAGGUUUUGGAGAUUACUUUGAGUUUCGGUCCUGAAUUUGUUCUAUUUAUAUAAAAGAAAAUAAAUAAUGUUUUACCAGGGCUAGAAGUGUAGCUGUAGCUAGUGGAAGGUCCACCGUUGUUGAUGAUGCUGCAGCUUUCUUUGCAAGCUAAGUGAUGUGCUUUGUCUCUUACGGAUUUAAGUCGAUAGAGUAAGAGGAUUAUGAGGAGAAUAGAGAAGAUUAUAAAAAGGGAGAUGAUGAAGAUGACAAUGAUGAUAAUAGCAUUCAAUGAAAUUAGACCAUGCUGGUGCUGCUCCUGGCUUGUGGGAGAUUUUGGAUUCAAUGAUGAUGAUGGAUGAUGGUAGUGGUUGCUACGACUUUCGUUUUUCAUUUUUGCAAGAGCUCUGUCCAGUUUAUGA